AGGGCUUUGGUUAUUGGGCUUUCAUUUAAUUUAAACCAAAGACAAUUAGGAUUUUAAAAUAAACCAAUUUCAAUUGGAUUAGGAUUAGAAUUAGAAUUAAACCAUCCUGGUUUACUUCUAGGGUUUCUGUUUGUCGAUUUCUUUAAGAACAUGGGGGGGGGGAGGCAGCUUUGUUUUCUCAACUUUCAAUCUAAGAAUUAUUCAGUCAACUUUGUUGUCUUGUCUCUAGCUUUCUCUGUUCAGCUCAAGAACAUUGAUCUCACUUAAAGGAAGGAAUUCCUGUGAAUCCCAUCUUAGACAAUACAAGGUGAUCUUGUGUCUUUGAGUAGCAAACCAUCUCUGUUGCCAUUCCAUAGCUUCAGAGAGACGUCCAUAGUCCAGCAGAGUGCUAGUAGCCUCCAAGGACAUCCCUAUUUCGUUCCCCUUCAAGUGAUCCAGGAGCAGAAGCCAUACCCAGGCUGCACCAAGUGGUAUCAGAGCCACUUGAAGGUUAGGGUUUGCGAUUUUGACUACUCAGAUCAUUCAUUCCAUCAAACACUUCUCUUAUCUUUCUAUCUGUUGUAAGCCAGCUGAGCCAACCCUGC
RNAcentral lists this long non-coding RNA (584 nucleotides) under Brassica napus (rape). RNAcentral's name for it is "long non-coding RNA (BNAP_LNC010691)". The record is from RNAcentral. Lineage: Eukaryota; Viridiplantae; Streptophyta; Magnoliopsida; Brassicales; Brassicaceae.